AGCCUGGAGGGCAAGGGUAUUUCUGAGAAGUAGUAUAUGUCCAGAGAGUGCUCCCCAGCUGUUAGGAGGCCAGCUGGGAGUUAGUCUCUGUGACUUUGUUACCAAUAUCACCAACAAAGGGAUUUAGGAAGCAGCAAAUAUGAGGAAGACAGAAAUGCACAAAGUUAGCACCGCAACAGAUCUCUGAGGAUUUCUAGUUAAGGAGUCUGGGUGUGUUUGUUUGUUUGUUUGUUUAAGGAAUUUGUAUUCCCACCACCAAGAAUUAACCGUGGCUAGCAUUGGGUCAUAUCUGCUUCCCAUAUAUAAAUAAAAUGUUUUAGAGAAAGUUGAAGAUUUUUUUCCCCUUUGCCCCUCACUCCCUGCUCUUUCCUUUUCUCCCUCCAGAGACACCCACCAUUGAGAGAAUCAGCCAGUUGCGCCAGCGUCCAGGGUCAAUGAAGCAUGGGAUGUGGGACGACUGGAGUGUCAAUAUUUCCCAGCUCCUCUUCCUGUUCCGUGCACCUGCCAGGGCGGGACCUUGUGGAGCUGGCCUUCUACUUUCCUGAAACAGGCAACCAAAGCCAAAGGUGUGUUCUGUGGUCGGGGCGGGGGGCUGGUUUCACUUCUGAUUCUGCUGUUUUGUCUUUGUAGUGUUUUCACAGAUAAUGAAAGUGUUUAGACAGGUUCACUGUCAGUUAUUAAAGAAAAGUGCACUGGUUUCUUCACAUGGAAUGAAUAGCUUCCCACCGGGUUACUCCACUCUGCU
Molecule: long non-coding RNA, 745 nt
Filed under: Mustela putorius furo (domestic ferret)
Lineage: Eukaryota; Metazoa; Chordata; Mammalia; Carnivora; Mustelidae
Description: lncRNA (ENSMPUG00000025758.1)
Source: RNAcentral